This 253-nucleotide ribosomal RNA is filed under the name uncultured bacterium. RNAcentral's name for it is "partial 16S ribosomal RNA". It matches the Rfam family "Bacterial small subunit ribosomal RNA", at positions 524 to 776 of the family's 1533-position model. The record is from RNAcentral.
UACAGAGGUCCCGAGCGUUGUUCGGAUUCAUUGGGCGUAAAGGGUGCGUAGGCGGUCUUCUAAGUUUGAUGUGAAAUCCCGGGGCUCAACCCUGGAAUUGCAUUGAAUACUGGAGGACUAGAGUACCGGAGAGGAAACUGGAAUUUACGGUGUAGCAGUGAAAUGCGUAGAGAUCGUAAGGAAGACCAGUGGCGAAGGCGAGUUUCUGGACGGUAACUGACGCUGAGACGCGAAAGCGUGGGGAGCAAACAGG